GCAUUGGUGGUUUAGUAGUAUAAUUCUUGCCUUCCACGUGGAAAACCCGUGCUCAAUUCCUGGCCAGUGCA
This 71-nucleotide transfer RNA is filed under the name Loxodonta africana (African savanna elephant). It matches the Rfam family "tRNA". From Rfam's summary of the family: Transfer RNA (tRNA) molecules are approximately 80 nucleotides in length. Their secondary structure includes four short double-helical elements and three loops (D, anti-codon, and T loops). Lineage: Eukaryota; Metazoa; Chordata; Mammalia; Proboscidea; Elephantidae. The record is from Rfam by way of RNAcentral.